RNAcentral lists this ribosomal RNA (419 nucleotides) under uncultured eukaryote. RNAcentral describes it as "SSU rRNA". It matches the Rfam family "Eukaryotic small subunit ribosomal RNA", at positions 592 to 1017 of the family's 1831-position model. The record is from RNAcentral.
CAAUAGCGUAUAUUAAAGUUGUUGCAGUUAAAAGCUCGUAGUUGGAUCUCGGGUCCAGGCUUGCGGUUCUGCUUGUGCAGAUACUACUUGUCCUGACCUACCUGCCGGUUUUCCCUUGGUGCCCUUGAUUGGGUGUCUCGGGUGGCCGGAACGUUUACUUUGAAAAAAUUAGAGUGUUCAAAGCAGGCAGCUCGCCUGAAUAAUGGUGCAUGGAAUAAUAGAAAAGGACCUCGGUUCUAUUUUGUUGGUUUUCGGAACUUGAGGUAAUGAUUAAGAGGGACAGACGGGGGCAUUCGUAUUGUGGGGCUAGAGGUGAAAUUCUUGGACCCUCGCAAGACGGACAACCGCGAAAGCAUUUGCCAAGAAUGUUUUCAUUAGUCAAGAACGAAAGUCAGAGGUUCGAAGAUGAUCAGAUACCG